UACGUAGGUGGCGAGCGUUGUCCGGAUUUACUGGGCGUAAAGGGAGCGUAGGCGGACUUUUAAGUGAGAUGUGAAAUACUCGGGCUCAACUUGAGUGCUGCAUUUCAAACUGGAAGUCUAGAGUGCAGGAGAGGAGAAUGGAAUUCCUAGUGUAGCGGUGAAAUGCGUAGAGAUUAGGAAGAACACCAGUGGCGAAGGCGAUUCUCUGGACUGUAACUGACGCUGAGGCUCGAAAGCGUGGUGAGCAAACAGG
RNAcentral lists this ribosomal RNA (253 nucleotides) under uncultured bacterium. RNAcentral's name for it is "partial 16S ribosomal RNA". It matches the Rfam family "Bacterial small subunit ribosomal RNA", at positions 524 to 776 of the family's 1533-position model. The record is from RNAcentral.